UCAGAUAGAGACAACUGUGGGUGGCUGAC
This 29-nucleotide non-coding RNA is filed under the name Homo sapiens (human). The record is from RNAcentral. Lineage: Eukaryota; Metazoa; Chordata; Mammalia; Primates; Hominidae.